GACGAACGCUGGCGGCGUGCCUAAUACAUGCAAGUAGAACGCUGAAGGAGGAGCUUGCUUCUCCGGAUGAGUUGCGAACGGGUGAGUAACGCGUAGGUAACCUGCCUGGUAGCGGGGGAUAACUAUUGGAAACGAUAGCUAAUACCGCAUAACAGUAGAUAUCGCAUGAUAUCUGCUUGAAAGGUGCAAUUGCAUCACUACCAGAUGGACCUGCGUUGUAUUAGCUAGUUGGUGAGGUAACGGCUCACCAAGGCGACGAUACAUAGCCGACCUGAGAGGGGGGUCGGCCACACUGGGACUGAGACCCGGCCCAGGCUCCUACGGGGGGCAGCAGUAGGGAAUCUUCGGCAAUGGACGGAAGUCUGACCGAGCAACGCCGCGUGAGUGAAGAAGGUUUUCGGAUCGUAAAGCUCUGUUGUAAGAGAAGAACGAGUGUGAGAGUGGAAAGUUCACACUGUGACGGUAUCUUACCAGAAAGGGACGGCUAACUACGUG
This 495-nucleotide ribosomal RNA is filed under the name uncultured bacterium. Its description in RNAcentral is "partial 16S ribosomal RNA". It matches the Rfam family "Bacterial small subunit ribosomal RNA", at positions 28 to 507 of the family's 1533-position model. The record is from RNAcentral.